GAUGAAUGCUGGCGGCGUGCCUAACACAUGCAAGUCGAGCGGCAGCGAGGGGUGCUUGCACCCUGUCGGCGAGCGGCGAACGGCUGAGUAACGCGUAGGAAUUUGCCCCAAAGUGAGGAAUAACUGCCCGAAAGGGUAGCUAAUGCCGCAUAUGGUCUUCGGAUUAAAGGAUUUAUCCGCUUUGGGAGAAGCCUGCGUUGGAUUAGGUUGUUGGUAGGGUAAUGGCCUACCAAGCCGACGAUCCAUAGCUGGUCUGAGAGGAUGUUCAGCCAGACUGGAACUGAGACACGGUCCAGACUCCUACGGGAGGCAGCAGUGAGGAAUCUUCCACAAUGGGCGAAAGCCUGAUGGAGCAACGCCGCGUGAAGGAUGAAGGCCUUCGGGUUGUAAACUUCUUUUAUGAGUGAAGAAUAUGACGGUAACUCAUGAAUAAGCACCGGCUAACUACGUG
RNAcentral lists this ribosomal RNA (451 nucleotides) under uncultured bacterium. Its description in RNAcentral is "partial 16S ribosomal RNA". It matches the Rfam family "Bacterial small subunit ribosomal RNA", at positions 28 to 507 of the family's 1533-position model. The record is from RNAcentral.